UUUAGAGUUUGAUCCAUGGCUCAGAUUGAACGCUGGCGGCAGGCUUAACACAUGCAAGUCGAGCGGUAACAGGGGGUGCUUGCACCCUGCUGACGAGCGGCGGACGGGUGAGUAAUGCAUAGGAAACUGCCCAGUAGUGGGGGAUAGCCCGGGGAAACCCGGAUUAAUACCGCGUACGCCCUUCGGGGGAAAGCAGGGGAUCUUCGGACCUUGCGCUAUUGGAUGUGCCUAUGUCGGAUUAGCUAGUUGGUGGGGUAAGAGCCUACCAAGGCGACGAUCCGUAGCUGGUCUGAGAGGAUGAUCAGCCACAUCGGGACUGAGACACGGCCCGAACUCCUACGGGAGGCAGCAGUGGGGAAUAUUGGACAAUGGGGGCAACCCUGAUCCAGCCAUGCCGCGUGUGUGAAGAAGGCUUUCGGGUUGUAAAGCACUUUCAGUGAGGAGGAAAAGUCUGCGACUAAUACUCGUAGGGCUUGACAUACUCACAGAAGAAGCACCGGCAA
RNAcentral lists this ribosomal RNA (503 nucleotides) under Marinobacter sp. V3S-003. RNAcentral describes it as "bacterial SSU rRNA". It matches the Rfam family "Bacterial small subunit ribosomal RNA", at positions 1 to 499 of the family's 1533-position model. Lineage: Bacteria; Pseudomonadati; Pseudomonadota; Gammaproteobacteria; Pseudomonadales; Marinobacteraceae. The record is from RNAcentral.